Molecule: ribosomal RNA, 402 nt
Filed under: uncultured bacterium
Lineage: Bacteria
Description: bacterial SSU rRNA
Rfam family: Bacterial small subunit ribosomal RNA
Source: RNAcentral
UGGGGAAUAUUGGACAAUGGGGGCAACCCUGAUCCAGCCAUGCCGCGUGAGUGAUGAAGGCCUUCGGGUUGUAAAGCUCUUUUGGCGGGGACGAUGAUGACGGUACCCGCAGAAUAAGCCCCGGCUAACUUCGUGCCAGCAGCCGCGGUAAGACGAAGGGGGCAAGCGUUGUUCGGAAUUACUGGGCGUAAAGGGCGCGUAGGCGGUUUGCUUAGUCAGGCGUGAAAGCCCUGGGCUUAACCUGGGAUGUGCGCUUGAUACUGGCAUGCUUGAGUGUGGGAGAGGUUGGUGGAAUUCCCAGUGUAGAGGUGAAAUUCGUAGAUAUUGGGAAGAACACCGGUGGCGAAGGCGGCCAACUGGACCACAACUGACGCUGAGGCGCGAAAGCGUGGGGAGCAAACA